AUGGACAUCGUGACCGCAUAUCUUUACGGGUCACUAGAUUCGGACAUAUAUAUGAAGGUUCCUGAUGGAAUCUCUGUCCCGAAUAAAAAUGCAAAACAUAACAUGUAUUAUGUAAAGCUGAAUAAGUCAUUAUAUGGCUUAAGGCAGUCAGGACGGAUGUGGUACAACCGACUCAGUGAGUUCCUUCUUCAGAAAGGUUACUCCAGUAGUGCUGAUUGCCCAUGUGUUUUCAUCAAGAAGUCCUCUAUAGGAUUUUGCAUCAUUUCUGUGUAUGUUGAUGAUCUCAACAUCAUCGGCAGCACACCAGACAUUGAUGAAGCACGCAAUCACCUAAAGAUGGAAUUUGAGAUGAAGGAUUUGGGUAAAACCAAAUUUUGCUUAGGUAUUCAACUUGAGCAUCUUCCCUCAGGAAUCAUGGUACACCAAUCUGCCUAUAUCCAGAAAAUAUUGGAGAAAUUCAAUAUGGACAAAUCCUAUCCAUCCAAAACUCCUAUGGUGGUUCGAUCUCUAGACGUUGAGAAAGAUCCGUUCAGACCAAGGGAUGAUGGAGAAGAGGUGUUGGGACCUGAAGUUCCAUACCUCAGUGUCGUUGGAGCGCUUAUGUAUCUUGCAAAUUGCACAAGACCUGAUAUUGCAUUUGCAGUGAAUCUACUUGCUAGACAUAGCGCAGCUCCCACCAAACGUCAUUGGUCUGGAGUGAAGAAUAUCUUUCGAUAUCUCCAAGGCACAAAGGAUCUUGGCCUAUUUUUCCAGUUCCAGAAAAAUCAGGACUCUGAUGUGAUUGGGUAUGCAGAUGCCGGCUAUUUGUCUGAUCCCCAUAAUGCCAGAUCUCAUACCAGCUUCGUGUUCCUACAUGGUGGCACUGCUAUAUCAUGGAAGUCUUCGAAACAGACUCUGGUGGCAACAUCUACCAAUCAUUCUGAAAUAAUUUCAUUAUUUGAAGCAACAUGCGAAUGUGUAUGGCUUCGCAGAAUGAUAAACCACAUACAACAGUCAUGUGGAAUGGGUUCGAUAAAAUCACCUACCAUUAUCUAUGAAGAUAAUGCGGCCUGUGUUGCGCAGAUGCAAACAGGAUACAUCAAGAGUAAUAUCACCAAGCAUAUUUCUCCUAAAUGGUUUUUUCCCAUAAUCUUCACAAAAGCGGGGAAAUAA
RNAcentral lists this ribosomal RNA (1152 nucleotides) under Triticum aestivum (bread wheat). Its description in RNAcentral is "partial small subunit ribosomal RNA". The record is from RNAcentral. Lineage: Eukaryota; Viridiplantae; Streptophyta; Magnoliopsida; Poales; Poaceae.